This is a non-coding RNA of Microcebus murinus (gray mouse lemur), 1349 nucleotides long. The record is from RefSeq and is a predicted model, not a curated record. NCBI's taxonomy places the organism in Eukaryota, Metazoa, Chordata, Mammalia, Primates, Cheirogaleidae.
GAUACAGUGCUAGGCAUGGGAGAAACAAAGAUUAAAUUAUCCCGGUGCUUAAAUAUUGAAGAACCUCUGCUGCUGGCCAAACUCAAGCCCGGGCGCCCCCACCAAUUCGAUUGGAAGUCGAGCUGUGAAACCUGGAGUGUCGUCUUCUCUCCCGAUGGCUCCUGGUUCGCUUGGUCUCAAGGACACUGUAUCAUCAAGCUGAUCCCCUGGCCACUGGAGGAGCAGUUCAUCCCUAAAGGGUUUGAAGCCAAAAGUCGAAGUAGCAAAAAUGAGACCAAAGGACGAGGCAGCCCAAAGGAGAAGACGCUGGACUGUGGGAGGAUUGUCUGGCGGUUGGCCUUCAGCUCAUGGCCAUCGCUACCUAGCAGGAAGCUCUGGGCACGCCACCAUCCCCAAGUGCCAGAUAUCUCCUGCCUGAUCCUUGCUACGGGACUCAACGAUGGGCAGAUCAAGAUUUGGGAGGUGCAGACAGGGCUCCUGCUUUUGAAUCUUACCGGCCACCAGGAUGUCGUGAGAGAUCUGAGCUUCACACCCAGUGGCAGUUUGAUUUUGGUCUCUGCGUCACGGGAUAAGACUCUUCGAAUUUGGGACCUGAAUAAACAUGGUAAACAGAUUCAGGUGUUAUCGGGCCACCUGCAGUGGGUUUACUGCUGUUCCAUUUCGCCAGACUGUAGCAUGUUGUGCUCAGCAGCUGGAGAGAAGUCUGUCUUUCUAUGGAGCAUGCGGUCCUACACGUUAAUCCGGAAGCUAGAAGGCCACCAAAGCAGUGUUGUCUCUUGUAACUUUUCCCCGGACUCAGCCUUGCUUGUCACAGCUUCUUAUGACACCAAUGUGAUUAUGUGGGACCCCUACACUGGCGAAAGGCUGAGGUCACUCCGCCACAGCCCGGUCGACCAUGGCAUGGAAGACAGCGAUGUCCACAUUAGCUCAUAAGAUCCAUGUGCUUCUCUCCAGAGGCUUGUACCUUGCUACGGUGGCAGAUGACAGACUCCUCAGGAUCUGGUCCCUGGAAGUGAAAACUCCAAUUGCAUUUGCUCCUAUGACCAAUGGUCUUUGCUGCACAUUUUUUCCACAUGGUGGAGUUAUUGCCACAGGGACGAGAGAUGGCCAUGUCCAAUUCUGGACAGCUCCUAGGGUCCUAUCCUCACUGAAACACUUAUGCCGGAAAGCCCUUCGAAGUUUCCUAACAACUUACUAAGUCCUAGCACUGCCAAUCUCCAAGAAGAUGAAAGAGUUCCUUACAUACAGGACUUUUUAAGCAACGCUACUUACCUUACUUGUUUUCUUUGUAGCAGGAUAAAUCUUGGCAAAGGAGUAGCUGAAAUAAUGGACCAAACAUUUGGUCAUGG